AUAAAAAUUUAAUUAAUAAACAAAAAGUAUUUCUAAACACUCAACAUUAAGGAAAGCCAGCAACCAAAAGAUUUUAAUAGAUAAUUCACUAAAGAAGAUGUUCACAUGGUACAAUAGAAUGUGAAAAGGUGCUUAAACUUAUGUGCCAUUAGGGAAUUGCAAAUUAGGACCACUAUGAGAUUUUACUAUACAUCUAGUAGAAUGGCUAGUAAAAGUCUAAAAUACCGAUAUGAAUAUCAAAUACCGGUUAAAAUGUGGAGCAACUGGAACUCAUAUGUGUGGUGGGAAUGCAAAAUUAUACAGAAGCUUUGGAAAAGUAUGAUACUUGUUUCUUCUCCAAAGCAUUUGCCCUAUAGAAAUGAACAUUUAUGUUCACAUAAAACCAGUACCUGAAAGUUUAUAGAACGAAUUUUAUUCAGAAUCACCAAAAGUGGGAAGUUUUUACAUAUCCAUCAAUUAGCAAAUGGAUAAAAACCAGUGGUACAUCCAUACAAUGAAGUACAUUGAUAUAUACGGAUGAACUGUUGAUUGAUAUAACCACAUAGAGAGCCUAAAUGCAUUUUGCUAAGUGAAGGAAGCCAGACCAAAAAGUCUACAUAUUGCAUGAUUCCAUUCAUAUGACCGCUGGAAAUGGCAAAACCAUAUGAAUGGAGAACAAAUAAGUGGUUUCCAUGGCUUGGAAAUCGGAUUUACAAUAAAAAGAGCAUUUCAGAGAAAUCAGUGAUAAAACUGUUCUGUAUGGUUUUAGAGUGGAAGAAUACAUGACUUUAUACUUGUCAAAACCCAUGACCUAUAUACCAUAAAGUCAAUUUUCUGUAUGUAACUUAGAAAUAAAAGUCUCUCUGCCCUGGCCAGUUUUCUCAGUGGUUAUAGUGUCAGCCCGCAGACCAAAGGGUCUUGGGUUUGAUUCUGGUCAAGGGCACAUACUUUGGUUGCAGGGUCAAUCCUCAGCCCAGUCGGUGCACAUUCGGAAGGCAACCAAUUGAUUUUUCUCGAUCACAUCAAUGUUUCUCUCUCUCCUGCCCCCUUCCACACUGAAAAUCAAUAGGGAAAAAUAUCCUUGGGGAAGGAUUAAGAAGAAAAAAUAAAAAUAAAAACCUCUAAAACCGCCUAUUAAGUGAGCAGAGAUUUAUAAAAACAAGAAGCUUUGCUUUAAUGUGUAGAGAACUAUGCACAAUUAUAUAUCAUUGAUGGGAAAUAAUUUGUACAACAAUAUUGAGAACAAUUCAUUAAUACCUUUCAAGUGCCUCUCAUCAUUCAAACUCGGUAAUUCCAAUUCUAAUUUAUUCAAAAUAAAUAGAGAUGCAUGUAAAGAUUAAUAUACUAUGGUCUUCAUUACAUUUUUAAAAUUAAAUCUUUAUUGCUGAAAGUAUUACAUAUUGAUACUGGAACCAGUGAGCAGGAAUUCUUUCCAGGGUCGUGUCUCACAAAAUUAAAGAAUGAAGCCAUUGGACCAGCCGGAGGAGUUCAACAAGGCAGGAGUUUAUUGCAAACAAACCCAGGCUCCCUGCUCAGAUUCCACAUAUGAGUGAGACUAACCUACCCCAGGAUGUUGUGGAAUACAGCACAUUCAUCUGUCACCCAGCCGCCAUCCUGGUUCCAAGGCUGCAUCUCUCCACUGGACUGAUGGCAAGGUUGUCAGUGUUUUGCUCCUGGGCCUACUUCCAGCUGUGUGUUUGAAUCCUUCUUCUGCGAUGGACUACUCCCUGGCUGCGGUCCUCUCUCUAUAUAGUCACUGGGGCCUUGGACAAGUUGUUACUAUGUUCAAAAGGAUGCAUUGCAGAAAUCUGCCAAGGCAGGCCUCUUGGCACUCUCGGUUUUCACCUUUGCUGGGCUUUGUUAUUUCAACCAUCACAAUGUGGACAUCUGCAAAGCUGUUGCCAUGCUGUGGAACCUCUGACCUUGACUUACUACCUUGAAAAUUGAUUGUACACCUCUUUGCCUCUGCUUUGUCAUGCCAUUCAUCUCACAAUAAGGAGGAAAUAACAGAUAAGUCCACUGGUGAGAUAAAUCUCUUCUAAUCAUCUGGCUAGUUUUAGAAUUUAAUCUGUAAAGAAAAGGUUUGAGAGGAAUUGUAUCCAAGAAAUUGUGAGACAGAGUCCUACAUUCCGGCGAUUGAAUGAGGUUGUCCUCCAGCUUCUCAAGACUCACAAUAUAACAACAUUAUAUAUGAGCUUUCGCAUUAUAAUUUACCGAACUCUUAAAGGGAAUUCUGCUUUAUUACUAUCAAUACCUAAUCAAACUGCUAUAUUUGUCCUAGGAGUUAAGGAGAACGGAAGAACUAUUAAUUCAUAAGUAAAGACUGCAGAAACUUAUGCAUCACUUAAUGUUUGAAAACUUUCCCCCUUUAUUUAGUUGAUACCAGUCACUGAUGGUUAUAUGUCUUUGGGAAACUUAAAGUUAGGAAAUGCUCAUAUUUCACAUUACUAAUUUCUAAAGCCUGGAUAAAAGAGCCUGAAGAACUUCUGAAUAUAGAGAAGUUCCAUGCAGGGAAGAGGUACCCUUGUAGAGGUAUCAAAAUAUUACAUGUUCUAAACUGAGACUUAACUCCUCAAAUACGUUCAUUUUACUUGUCCCAAAAUAAUAUCCACAAAUAUAAAGCUUUAAAUAACAAAUUGUUAUUUUUC
Long non-coding RNA from Myotis myotis, 2627 nucleotides. RefSeq lists it as uncharacterized. NCBI's taxonomy places the organism in Eukaryota, Metazoa, Chordata, Mammalia, Chiroptera, Vespertilionidae. The record is from RefSeq and is a predicted model, not a curated record. The transcript has 2 exons.